CUGCGCCCAGUGUGGUAUUAAUGUCGCUAAUAGACACGCCCAGCGCCUGAGCUUUUUCCUGGUCGAUAUCGAUUUUA
RNAcentral lists this transfer RNA (77 nucleotides) under Salmonella sp. FORC89. RNAcentral describes it as "tRNA-Arg". The record is from RNAcentral. Lineage: Bacteria; Pseudomonadati; Pseudomonadota; Gammaproteobacteria; Enterobacterales; Enterobacteriaceae.